ACGUAGUUUGAUCAGUGGCUCGAAGGACAACGCUGGCGGCGUGCCUAACACAUGCAAGUCGAACGGAACUUUUUUAAAGGAUUUCUUCGGAAUGAAUUUGAUUAAGUUUAGUGGCGGACGGGUGAGUAACGCGUGAGUAACCUGCCUCUAAGAGGGGAAUAACAUUCUGAAAAGAAUGCUAAUACCGCAUAAUAUAUAUUUAUCGCAUGGUAGAUAUAUCAAAGAUUUAUCGCUUAGAGAUGGACUCGCGUCCGAUUAGUUAGUUGGUGAGGUAACGGCUCACCAAGACUGCGAUCGGUAGCCGGACUGAGAGGUUGAACGGCCACAUUGGGACUGAGACACGGCCCAGACUCCUACGGGAGGCAGCAGUGGGGGAUAUUGCGCAAUGGGGGAAACCCUGACGCAGCAACGCCGCGUGAAGGAUGAAGGUCUUCGGAUUGUAAACUUCUUUUAUUAAGGACGAAGAAAGUGACGGUACUUAAUGAAUAAGCUCCGGCUAACUACGUG
Molecule: ribosomal RNA, 507 nt
Filed under: uncultured bacterium
Lineage: Bacteria
Description: bacterial SSU rRNA
Rfam family: Bacterial small subunit ribosomal RNA
Source: RNAcentral